UCUCAUUUUCUCUCGGUCACUCUCAUAUAUCUUCUCUCAAAUUCUCUCAAAAUCUGUUGAACUCUCUCCCUUUCUACCGUGGAAAAACACACCACACCACCUUCAUUUCUAAACGUUUUAUCAAUGAACAAACAUCACAUCGUGCUAAUCUUGUCCCCACAAACCCAGUUAUGGGGUUUGUUUCGUGAACAACCUAACUAAGGAACCGUGAGCUUCAAAAUGGGCCAAGAGUUUCCCAUCUAUUUCAGAUAGUUUCCAGCCAAUUUUUGGACUUCAAAUAGAAAUUCCAGCGAAAAUUGCCAGAUUCCGACUGCUGCUGUCCACACAACCGAUGACGGAGGAAGGUUGAAGGAAGAGGAAUAUUUUGUUAGGACCCUCAGGUAUAAACUCUGAGAUUCCCAUCAAGACUAUCCCACGCUUAGCAGAACAAGUGAUGGCAUAAGGCGGCUCGUGGUCGGCCAAUAGUGGCUUACGGUGACGUGUGGCAAUAGCCCGACAUCGCAUCCUUUGUCUUUGUCGAAUUUCGCUAAAUAGUCCGGAACCUGAUCUGUGUAAGAUUUUGUUAAGUGGUCUGUAAUCGCAUCCUUUGUCUUUGUUGGUCCGUUUGUUCCUUGAAGUCGGUCUAGAAUGUGGAAGCUUAAGAGUAGUAUGCUUUAGUCGAACUGCAUCCCUCUAGCCCUAGUUCUCUGUGCUUUUAUGAACUAUAGAUUAAGAACCUUUGUGGUUUGAGUUAGAAAGGCUGAUGGAUGUAUGUGUUAUUCUUUCGGGAUUGUCAGCGGAUUGUUUAUGGUUUUAUAAAAUAUGAUUUUAUGAUUGAUGUUUGUAAACUGUGAUCUAUGGACUUGUUUUAUGGUUCUCAUA
This is a long non-coding RNA of Malus domestica (apple), 861 nucleotides long. RefSeq lists it as uncharacterized. Lineage: Eukaryota; Viridiplantae; Streptophyta; Magnoliopsida; Rosales; Rosaceae. The record is from RefSeq and is a predicted model, not a curated record.